Molecule: long non-coding RNA, 991 nt
Filed under: Rhinopithecus bieti (black snub-nosed monkey)
Lineage: Eukaryota; Metazoa; Chordata; Mammalia; Primates; Cercopithecidae
Description: lncRNA (ENSRBIG00000046661.1)
Source: RNAcentral
CCGAGGUUAGAAUGAAGAGAUGAAACAAGGUUAGAAUGUUCUAACAGAAGCCCCUCCAUGAAGAGAUGAAACAAGGUUAGAAUGUUCUAACAGAAGCCCCUCCAUGAAGAGACGAAAUGGUCAAACGUCCAGGACUCUUCGAGAAGACAGGGAAAGGGGAUCAUGAGUCACCCAGACAUGAGCCAUGCUUGGGAAGCUGUUACUGCCCCUAUGGCUACAGACACAGUGGAAGUAGUACCUCCUACAGUUAGAAUGUACCCUGUGAUGAACAGCAGAGCAUGUGAAGGCUGGAAACAGAGCUCAGAGAAAAUCAACAGCUGCCCCUCGCAAGAGCAACGUACGCUGACUUCUUCACUGUGGGAUUCAUGCCAUCUGGAAGAACAACUGGGCAUAUAUUUGGUGAAUGAAUGAAUGAAAUAUAACAAAACUGAUGUUUUAUUGCUGAGAAAAUUGAAGUUCCUGCGGGCUUCCCAAUUUACUCAGGUGGUUAACGGAAGAACUAGGACUGAAAUUUAGGCUCUCUACUUCAUAUUUCAACACAGCAAUUGCCUCUGACUUCUGUAAAUUGAAUCAUAUUUUAAAUCCAUAUGAGAACUUUCUUUCCGAAGACAUUCUGUGCUGCACUUUUUGCAAAACUGAAAUCCUUUAUCACCUUCGUUAGGUAGAUUUUUCAAGUUUCAGUUUCUCUUCAAGCUUUCUGGACUAUUUCUUUAGCUAGGAGGUUUUACAUAACAACUCUAUUUUAAAAGAACAGAGCAUUUCAAAAGGAUUCUCAUUUUGGUAAAAGAGUCAGCAUAAUGCGAAAGAAAGAGCAUGGUUUCUGUGAACAGAUAGUACUACAUUCUGAUCUAGGAUUCGCAACUAAUAGCAAAUUACACAUUAGACAAAACGCUUAACUUUUCUGGUCCUUGAUUCCUUAUUCUGUGAACUGGGGAUAAUAACGUCUUCUCUCAUCAUGCCACAGAACUGUAAGAAUGAAAUUAGAUGAUGC